RNAcentral lists this long non-coding RNA (765 nucleotides) under Capsicum annuum. RNAcentral's name for it is "long non-coding RNA (CANN_LNC012173)". The record is from RNAcentral. Lineage: Eukaryota; Viridiplantae; Streptophyta; Magnoliopsida; Solanales; Solanaceae.
AACAUAAUAGAGGAUUGAAUUCUUUGAAGAAAAAGAUUACUUAAUCAAAUCAAUUAUUAAUUCAUCAAAUCUACCUUUUUAUUAACCUACUAGCUAACUUGAUGGAAAAAAGUAAGAUUAAAACAAAUUAUUAAAAAAAUAAUAACGAAAAAUAAAGAGGACCUUCCUUGCAUCUGCAAUGAGAAGCAACUUAAAGCUUUUCCUUUUUGAAAAAUUCGGAGCUUUCCACUUGUAUCACCAUAUUAAUUUGUUGCUAGUGACACUAUAUUAAAUCACUACAAUGUUCAAUUCUUUACUUAAACUGCCCAUGAAAUUAUCUAAUUCUUCCUUAACAAACAUAUCUGCAACUUCAAAAAUAGGAAAAAAAAAAUUAGUACAAACAUGUCAAUUGAGAAUCUAGCCACAAAAUGUCCAAAAAUUAAAAAGAAAAAAAAAAGAUUUUUUUUAAAGAUGUGACAUAAAUCGCUAUAUCUAUUAAUUAACAUCUAAAUCACUAAAUUAAACAUUAAUUGAAAUAUAAUCACCAUAUAAUUAUUUGAAUGCGCAACAAUUUUUUGAACAAGAUACGCCUAUUUAUGUGCAUAAACAAUAAAAGGAAAAAAAUAAAAAUGAUACAAAAAAAUAACGAGUACUUGUAUACUUAGUAAAAUCUAAUAAGUUGUUCAAAUAGCCUUUUUUGAAUGAAUAUAUAAAAUAGUAUACAGUCGAUCACAAAAACAUAUCUAAAUUAUUAACAAGGAGAGACAUACCUUUGACAACUCAAAA